GUGGGUAUAGCUCAGGGGUAGAGCAUGUGCUUGGCGUGCACGAAGUCCUGGUUUCAGUCCCCAGUACCUCCG
Camelus ferus (Wild Bactrian camel) is the source of this 72-nucleotide transfer RNA. It matches the Rfam family "tRNA". From Rfam's summary of the family: Transfer RNA (tRNA) molecules are approximately 80 nucleotides in length. Their secondary structure includes four short double-helical elements and three loops (D, anti-codon, and T loops). Further hydrogen bonds mediate the characteristic L-shaped molecular structure. tRNAs have two regions of fundamental functional importance: the anti-codon, which is responsible for specific mRNA codon recognition, and the 3' end, to which the tRNAs corresponding amino acid is attached (by aminoacyl-tRNA synthetases). tRNAs cope with the degeneracy of the genetic code in two manners: having more than one tRNA (with a specific anti-codon) for a particular amino acid; and 'wobble' base-pairing, i.e. permitting non-standard base-pairing at the 3rd anti-codon position. The record is from Rfam. NCBI's taxonomy places the organism in Eukaryota, Metazoa, Chordata, Mammalia, Artiodactyla, Camelidae.